UUAGCAACAAAGUGCUAUUUGGAGCACUUUGGAGCAUUUUUGGGCCAAGAUUGGAUAGUGCAAGCAUGGAGACAUGAGGAUGGACGUUUUUGAAGAUUAGAAGGCUAGAAAUCAGCAUGUGUGUGUGCAAGUGUGUUGACCUACAACUACAAACACUCAUCCACUACACCCAUUACAUCCACUCAUUACCAAACACUCAUCCA
RNAcentral lists this long non-coding RNA (203 nucleotides) under Malus domestica (apple). RNAcentral describes it as "long non-coding RNA (MDOM_LNC018998)". The record is from RNAcentral. Lineage: Eukaryota; Viridiplantae; Streptophyta; Magnoliopsida; Rosales; Rosaceae.